RNAcentral lists this ribosomal RNA (362 nucleotides) under uncultured bacterium. RNAcentral describes it as "bacterial SSU rRNA". It matches the Rfam family "Bacterial small subunit ribosomal RNA", at positions 29 to 359 of the family's 1533-position model. The record is from RNAcentral.
AACGAACGCUGGCGGCGUGGCUAAGACAUGCAAGUCGUACGAUACGUUGUAGCAAUAUGGCGUAUAGUGGCGGACGGGUGAGUAAUGAAUAGGGUAACGUACCCCGGGCACAGGGAUAGCGUCGGGCGAAAGCCCUUUGCGAAAGUGACGGUAUACCUGGUGACGUCUUUAAGUGGCAUCACUUGAAGAUCAUAAGGUGGGGACCUUCGGGCCGUAUUGGCCGUGGGAGCGGCCUAUUUCCUANCAGCUAGUUGGUGAGGUAAUGGCUCACCAAGGCAACGACGGGUAGCCGGACUGAGAGGUUGUCCGGCCACAUCGGGACUGAGACACUGCCCGGACAUCUACGGAUGGCUGCAGUAACG